GAUGAACGCUGGCGGCGUGCCUAAUACAUGCAAGUCGAGCGAACAGACGAGGAGCUUGCUCCUCUGACGUCAGCGGCGGACGGGUGAGUAACACGUGGAUAACCUACCUAUAAGACUGGGAUAACUUCGGGAAACCGGAGCUAAUACCGGAUAAUAUAUUGAACCGCAUGGUUCAAUAGUGAAAGACGGUUUUGCUGUCACUUAUAGAUGGAUCCGCGCCGCAUUAGCUAGUUGGUAUGGUAACGGCUUACCAAGGCGACGAUGCGUAGCCGACCUGAGAGGGGGAUCGGCCACACUGGAACUGAGACACGGUCAAGACUCCUACGGGAGGCAGCAGUAGGGAAUCUUCCGCAAUGGGCGAAAGCCUUACGGAGCAACGCCGCGUGAGUGAUGAAGGUCUUCGGAUCGUAAAACUCUGUUAUUAGGGAAGAACAAAUGUGUAAGUAGCUAUGCACGUCUUGACGGUACCUAAUCAGAAAGCCACGGCUAACUACGUG
Molecule: ribosomal RNA, 497 nt
Filed under: uncultured bacterium
Lineage: Bacteria
Description: partial 16S ribosomal RNA
Rfam family: Bacterial small subunit ribosomal RNA
Source: RNAcentral